This 200-nucleotide ribosomal RNA is filed under the name uncultured bacterium. Its description in RNAcentral is "partial 16S ribosomal RNA". It matches the Rfam family "Bacterial small subunit ribosomal RNA", at positions 1302 to 1500 of the family's 1533-position model. The record is from RNAcentral.
AGGCUGCAACUCGCCUACACGAAGUCGGAAUCGCUAGUAAUCGCGGAUCAGCAUGCCGCGGUGAAUACGUUCCCGGGCCUUGUACACACCGCCCGUCACACCAUGGGAGUUUGUAACGCUCAAAGUCGGUGGCCUAACCUUUAUGGAGGGAGCCGCCUAAGGCGGGACAGAUGACUGGGGUGAAGUCGUAACAAGGUAUC